AACCUCCGCAAUGUGAGAAAUCGCGACGGGGGGAUCCCAAGUGCCAUUCUUAACGGGAUGGCUUUUCAUUAGUGUAAAGAGCUUUUGGAAUAAGAGCUGGGCAAGACCGGUGCCAGCCGCCGCGGUAACACCGGCAGCUCUAGUGGUAACAAUUUUUAUUGGGCCUAAAGCGUCCGUAGCCGGUUUAAUAAGUCUCUGGUGAAAUCCUGUAGCUUAACUGUGGGAAUUGCUGGAGAUACUAUUAGACUUGAGACCGGGAGAGGUUAGAGGUACUCCCAGGGUAGAGGUGAAAUUCUGUAAUCCUGGGAGGACCGCCUGUUGCGAAGGCGUCUAACUGGAACGGUUCUGACGGUGAGGGACGAAAGUUAGGGGCGCGAACCGGAUUAGAUACCCGGGUAGUCCUAACUGUAAACGAUGCGGACUUGGUGUUGGGGUGGCUUUGAGCUGCUCAGUGCGAAGGAGCUGUUAAGUCCGCCGCCUGGGAAGUACGGUCGCAAGACUAAAACUUAAAGGAAGU
RNAcentral lists this ribosomal RNA (517 nucleotides) under uncultured bacterium. RNAcentral's name for it is "bacterial SSU rRNA". It matches the Rfam family "Archaeal small subunit ribosomal RNA", at positions 345 to 866 of the family's 1478-position model. The record is from RNAcentral.